RNAcentral lists this ribosomal RNA (450 nucleotides) under uncultured bacterium. Its description in RNAcentral is "partial 16S ribosomal RNA". It matches the Rfam family "Bacterial small subunit ribosomal RNA", at positions 354 to 796 of the family's 1533-position model. The record is from RNAcentral.
GUGGGGAAUUUUGGACAAUGGGCGCAAGCCUGAUCCAGCAAUGCCGCGUGCAGGAAGAAGGCCUUCGGGUUGUAAACUGCUUUUGUACGGAACGAAACGGCUCUGGUUAAUACCCGGGGCUAAUGACGGUACCGUAAGAAUAAGCACCGGCUAACUACGUGCCAGCAGCCGCGGUAAUACGUAGGGUGCAAGCGUUAAUCGGAAUUACUGGGCGUAAAGUGUGCGCAGGCGGUUUUGUAAGACAGGCGUGAAAUCCCCGGGCUCAACCUGGGAAUUGCGCUUGUGACUGCAAGGCUGGAGUGCGGCAGAGGGGGAUGGAAUUCCGCGUGUAGCAGUGAAAUGCGUAGAUAUGCGGAGGAACACCGAUGGCGAAGGCAAUCCCCUGGGCCUGCACUGACGCUCAUGCACGAAAGCGUGGGGAGCAAACAGGAUUAGAAACCCUGGUAGUCC